GUUGCAAUGUCAAGUGUCCAUCAGUAUGAACUAAUCCAUUCAUACAAAUUCAUAUGCUGCUGACGAAGCAGCUGAAGCAAUGCUUGUUGUCAUGUAGAUUGACAUUAACAUCACUCUAACCUCUUCUGCUGCAGGUAUUGUAGAGAAAGAGUCCAGAAGGACCCAGAGAAUGCCAUCACUCAUCACAACCACAGCGGUCUUUGUACCAUAUUUACUCUACCAUCUAUGAGGGUCAGACUGCAGCAGCCAGCUAAGACAUGAUCUACAGCAAGCUGCAGGCACACUGACAUGCUAACAGUUUAAAAGUGUGUUCAAGAAGAGAAGAAGUUGACUGAUGUGAUGUAGAACCAGAGGUACCCAUCAUGGACCAGACAGCAGCUGUCAUAUUUCUGAGGUAACGGUAACGGCCCGAGCCCCGAUGGUUGGGGACCCCUGAUGUAGAGUAAUCCUGAGCUUCUAUCAUGUCUUCUUCUCAAAUCAACCAAGAUGUAAAACGAAACCAAAGUUUUCCAAUGUUUUUCAGUCAGAAUAUCAAGUUCAAUCCUACUUUUUACACAAGUGUUUGAUUGAAGGUGAAGACAAUAUUUUUGGAUAUACUUCGUCUCAGUCUUGUUGUUUGCUUACUUCUGCACAAACACUGUAUGCUACAGACCCAAUGCAAAAUAUUUGAAUCUUUGUAUAUUUUAAAUAAACCUGAAUUAAUGUGUU
Molecule: non-coding RNA, 708 nt
Organism: Labrus bergylta (ballan wrasse)
Lineage: Eukaryota; Metazoa; Chordata; Actinopteri; Labriformes; Labridae
Source: RefSeq, a predicted model, not a curated record